Molecule: long non-coding RNA, 1343 nt
Filed under: Gallus gallus (chicken)
Lineage: Eukaryota; Metazoa; Chordata; Aves; Galliformes; Phasianidae
Description: long non-coding RNA NONGGAT006629
Source: RNAcentral
CUAAAAACCAACCAACCAAAACCCAAAACAAGGGGUAGAUAUGUUCAUAUUUGUGCCCUAAUUCCCCUCUCUGAAGAGGAUGUGCCUUUCUUCAGCUGGUGUAACUGAUGCUGACACUAACUGCAACUUUUAUGUAUCUGAUGUAUGCUCAUACAAGUACUGCUUCAGCAAACUGCAACCCAUAGAUAGCAACUGCAGUUAACCCAAAUAUGUGUGGCUGGUAAAGCACCACUGAGUUCCUAACAUUGGUAGGCAACACCCAAAUGCCUGUCAUGCAUGAAUGUUUGCAGAAACCUGGAGACUUCUGCGUGUUUUUCUUCACCAGGUGCCGUUGUCUGGGAUGUCUGCACCUUCUGCUCUUGCAGGAGUGCUGUUCCAGAUGUGGCUCCACCUGCAGGCUGUGAGGGAGCAGGAGUGUUUCCAUCAGAUCACGUAAUGAAAAGAUUGCACAGCAGUACUGGGGAGAUGGACACAACAGUGGUGGAACUGAGCAGAAAGUGAACUCGGAAGGACUUCAGAGGCUUUCUCCGGAUUUCAGAGUACCUCAUCAGCAGUCCUGUAGGUGCCUCGCAUGUCUGUGCCUUUGGGGAGCAAAGCUCCUGCUGGUUGACAGCUCAUUUAUUCCAGCCUCUCUUCUUCAUGAGAAUGACCUCCAGCAGCACACAGAUGCACUGAGCUUUUCCAUUCAGUGGGCAUUCUCUCCGUUCAGAAUCUUUCUUUUUUUAAUUCCUCCACCUCUUGGUGCGUUUUAUUGUACGUAGCGCAGCGCUUCACUCUACAAUCCAUUCCCCUCCUCCCACAGGCAUUAUUUUUCCCGUGGACAGGUGAGAACCACAGCUCACACAAUCACAAGGCUGCGCUCUGUUGGCAGCAGGUCGGGAUACCGCCGAGUCACGCUGUGAGUUUCCCACACCAUUCCAGAUUUGUGUUUACUUCAUGGAAACGCGCUCUGAACGCCAUCGCUCACCGAGAGGCUCUGUGUGAGAAGACCAAUUGUAACCUUUCAGCUCGCAAAUCAUUCCUGUGACACUCAGCAUCCUUACAGUGCGGCUGUGGCCGUGCACGCCGCCUGGAGCAGCCCAGCAGUUGUGCUGUUCUGAGGGCAUUCAGACGGAGAAGUGCUUUCUUGGUUUACAGCCGUAGCUAUUUCUGUGGGAUUUCUAUUAGAGCAGCCUUACUGCUUGAGUGCUAACCCCGCUCUGCGGGACCCCGGUGCUGCGCUGGGCUCGCCUGGAGGAGCGGUCGCUGCGGGUUGGCUGUGACCCGGCCCCGCGCCUCUGCGUCUGGUACUGAUACAUACACUGGCGACUUGAUUUUAUACUAUAAAAGGAUUUGUAUUACAG